This 68-nucleotide transfer RNA is filed under the name Nanostrea pinnicola. RNAcentral describes it as "tRNA-Asp". It matches the Rfam family "tRNA". Rfam says of the family: Transfer RNA (tRNA) molecules are approximately 80 nucleotides in length. Lineage: Eukaryota; Metazoa; Mollusca; Bivalvia; Ostreida; Ostreidae. The record is from RNAcentral.
AGGCGGUUAGUAUAAGGAGUACAUUAGCUUGUCACGCUAAAAGUGCAUGAGUAAUCAAGCACCGCCUG